Molecule: long non-coding RNA, 263 nt
Organism: Galeopterus variegatus (Sunda flying lemur)
Lineage: Eukaryota; Metazoa; Chordata; Mammalia; Dermoptera; Cynocephalidae
Exons: 3
Source: RefSeq, a predicted model, not a curated record
GCCAGGGAUAAUUAUCCCGAAGCAAUUAUGUAAUCCUCCAUCAGUUUUUCUUGGAAACCCUUCAUCUCCCUUUACCUCCGUUGACAUAAAUGGUGCCCCAGAGUGGAAUGUGAAGGAAAAUCACCUUCAGGAUGAAUCAGUGAUUGCUGGAACCGGUGUGCAGAACUCACUUGAGCCAUUUAAGGAUUCCACUUCCACAGCUCAUCUUCUUCUUCCCUGGCUAUGAAAAUGGUUAACAGGAAACUCACUUGAAUGAUGACCAG